This 598-nucleotide ribosomal RNA is filed under the name uncultured bacterium. RNAcentral describes it as "bacterial SSU rRNA". It matches the Rfam family "Bacterial small subunit ribosomal RNA", at positions 130 to 710 of the family's 1533-position model. The record is from RNAcentral.
CCUCUUGUUCGGGAUAACUGCUGGAAACGGCAGCUAAUACCGGAUAAGCUCCCCCAAUUGUAUGGGGAGGAAAGGAGGCCUCUUCAUGAAAGCUUCCGCGAGGGGAUGAGUCCGCGUCCCAUUAGCUAGUUGGUGAGGUAACGGCCCACCAAGGCAACGAUGGGUAGCCGGUCUAAGAGGAUGACCGGCCACACUGGAACUGAAACACGGUCCAGACUCCUACGGGAGGCAGCAGUGGGGAAUAUUGCGCAAUGGACGAAAGUCUGACGCAGCGACGCCGCGUGAGGGAUGAAGGUUUUCGGAUCGUAAACCUCUGUCAGGAGGGAAGAAAGCGCAUGGCGCCAAUCAGCCAUGCGUUGACGGUACCUCCAAAGGAAGCGCCGGCUAACUCCGUGCCAGCAGCCGCGGUAAUACGGAGGGCGCGAGCGUUAAUCGGAAUUACUGGGCGUAAAGCGCGCGUAGGCUGUUGUGUAAGUUGGGGGUGAAAUCCCACGGCUCAACCGUGGAACAGCCCUUGAUACUGCGCGACUUGAAUCCGGGAGAGGGUGGCGGAAUUCCAGGUGUAGGAGUGAAAUCCGUAGAUAUCUGGAGGAACAUC